RNAcentral lists this ribosomal RNA (253 nucleotides) under uncultured bacterium. RNAcentral describes it as "partial 16S ribosomal RNA". It matches the Rfam family "Bacterial small subunit ribosomal RNA", at positions 524 to 776 of the family's 1533-position model. The record is from RNAcentral.
UACAGAGGGGGCAAGCGUUAUUCGGAAUUAUUGGGCGUAAAGGGCGCGUAGGCGGCCUGGCAAGUGGAAGGUGAAAUCCCUCGGCUUAACCGAGGAACUGCCCUCCAAACUGCUUGGCUUGAGUCCGGGAGAGGUGAGUGGAAUUCCCAGUGUAGCGGUGAAAUGCGUAGAUAUCAGGAGGAACACCGGUGGUGUAGACGGCUUACUGGACCACGACUGACACUGAGGCACGAAAGCGUGGGUAGCAAACAGG